This 398-nucleotide ribosomal RNA is filed under the name uncultured bacterium. RNAcentral describes it as "partial 16S ribosomal RNA". It matches the Rfam family "Bacterial small subunit ribosomal RNA", at positions 523 to 918 of the family's 1533-position model. The record is from RNAcentral.
AUACGUAGGGUGCGAGCGUUGUCCGGAAUUACUGGGCGUAAAGAGCUCGUAGGUGGUUUGUCGCGUCGUCUGUGAAAUUCCGGGGCUUAACUCCGGGCGUGCAGGCGAUACGGGCAUAACUUGAGUACUGUAGGGGAGACUGGAAUUCCUGGUGUAGCGGUGAAAUGCGCAGAUAUCAGGAGGAACACCGGUGGCGAAGGCGGGUCUCUGGGCAGUAACUGACGCUGAGGAGCGAAAGCAUGGGUAGCGAACAGGAUUAGAUACCCUGGUAGUCCAUGCCGUAAACGGUGGGCGCUAGGUGUAGGGGUCUUCCACGACUUCUGUGCCGUAGCUAACGCAUUAAGCGCCCCACCUGGGGAGUACGGCCGCAAGGUUGAAACUCAAAUGAAUUGGCGGGG